UACGUAGGGGGCUAGCGUUGUCCGGAAUCAUUGGGCGUAAAGCGCGCGUAGGCGGCCCGGUAAGUCCGUUGUGAAAGUCAAAGGCUCAACCUUUGAAAGCCGAUGGAUACUGCCGGGCUAGAGUCCGGAAGAGGCGAGUGGAAUUCCUGGUGUAGCGGUGGAAUGCGCAGAUAUCAGGAGGAACACCAAUAGCGAAGGCAGCUCGCUGGGACGGUACUGACGCUGAGGCGCGAAAGCGUGGGGAGCGAACAGG
Molecule: ribosomal RNA, 253 nt
Filed under: uncultured bacterium
Lineage: Bacteria
Description: partial 16S ribosomal RNA
Rfam family: Bacterial small subunit ribosomal RNA
Source: RNAcentral